This is a long non-coding RNA of Myotis lucifugus (little brown bat), 875 nucleotides long. RefSeq lists it as uncharacterized. Lineage: Eukaryota; Metazoa; Chordata; Mammalia; Chiroptera; Vespertilionidae. The record is from RefSeq and is a predicted model, not a curated record. The transcript is spliced from 4 exons.
UUUUUGUCUCCUUCAAGGGAGGGAUUGCAGUGUCGCCGCUGAAGUGACGUCUCGGCUCGCGUCGCGGUUAUUACAUGGGGGGUUCCGGGGAACCCGAGGCUUAGAGAUGAGGUGUGACCGAAGCUGAGGGGCGGUUGACAUUGAAACCCAGAGGCUUCAACCUCCAGAACAUCCCUGGCCCCAGCAACCACUUCUUGGUACCACCUGUUCCUCAGUGGGAGGCACGGAAAAGGAAACUUUUCCCAAAUUGCACGUGAAGUUUGCAGAGCCUCCCCCGACCCAUCCCUUAUUUCCUGAUCAAUAAUUUGCGUGGGAUUGUCUCUCAAGAAUGUAAGUGUGUCAGGAACCCUGACACUGUCAUGAAGAGCAAGAAGGAAAAACUCAGAGAAUUCAAACUCAGCUGGAAACUGCUGGAGGAGCUGCCAGACGCAAUCAAGGAAGAGGAGAAACACUGGGGCCUGAAAAAAGAGAGCAUGAAACAUACCUCGUAUGCACGGUGCAGUGGAAAAGGCGAGAAACUGAAAUCUCUCCACGAUGCAGACACAAGUACAGGUAGGGCCAAGGAUACUCCAAGGUUUGGUUCUUGAUAAAUUCAACUUUUAAAAAAAUAGCCUGUAAAAACAAAAAUUCUACUUGAGCCCUUAAAGAUUCUGAUUACUGAACUUUUGACAUGAGAGAAAAAAUAAUACUACAAAUCACCAGAGGCUAGUCCAGUAGCAAAAUACACUGUUUCUCUAGAAUCAAUCCUUAAACAUUCAAUAACAACCCUCUCUCCCUUUUUUAAAAAUAUAUUUUUAUUGAUUUCAGAGAAGAAGGGAGAGAGAGAGAGAGAUAGAAACAUCAAUGAGACAAAAUCAUCAAUUGGCUGCCUCCUG